Long non-coding RNA from Oncorhynchus tshawytscha (Chinook salmon), 2027 nucleotides. Lineage: Eukaryota; Metazoa; Chordata; Actinopteri; Salmoniformes; Salmonidae. The record is from Ensembl.
UUUAUAUCUUUAUGUUUGAAGCCUGAAAUGUGGCAAAAGGUCGCAAAGUUCAAGGGGGCCGAAUACUUUCGCAAGGCACUGUAUGUCCUAGAGAAUAGGGUUCUAUUUGGGACUACGACUGUAGCUUUAUAUAUAUGUCCCAGAGAAUAGGGUUCUAUUUGGGACUAUGACUGUAGCUUUAUAUAUAUGUCCUAGAGAAUAGGGUUCCAUUUGGGACUACGACUGACUCUUUAUAUGUCCUAGAGAUAGGGUUCCAUUUUGGACUACGACUGUAGCUUUAUAUGUCCUAGAGAAUUGGGUUCUAUUUGGGACUACGACUGACUGUAGCUUUAUAUAUAUUUCCUAGUGAAUAGGGUUCCAUUUGGGACUAUGACUGUAGCUUCAUAUGUUCUAGAGAAUAGGGUUCCAUUUGGGACUAUGACUGUAGCUUUAUAUGUUCUAGUGAAUAGGGUUCCAUUUGGGACUAUGACUGUAGCUUUAUAUAUAAACAUAUACUACCGUUCAAAAGGUUGGGGUCACUUAGAAAUGUCCUUUUAGAAGGAAAAGCACAUUUUGUCUAUUAAAAUAACAUCAAAUUCAUCAUAAAUACAGUGUAGACAUGGUUAAAUGUUGUAAAUGACUAUUGUAGCUGGAAACAGCUAAUUUUGUAUGGAUUAUCUACAUAGGUGUACAGAGGCCCAUUAUCAGCAACCAUCUGUCCAGAUGCAUCUGCACAAUGUGUACCUGAAUACCUCCGGGGGUAGGCAGGAAGAUCUGAUCGCAACGUGUCCUUUAAUUGUCUACACCCGGUCUUAAAAUGUGGUCACAAUCAGAAUGUGGACCAGAUCAGGACAAAAGGAUGCAUGUUAGAACCUGGUAUAAAACAGAUUUUUAGAAACAUCCUAAAUGUAUAAACAAGUCAGCUUGUAAAUGCUGGGGGGGGGGUAUCUAACAAAUCAGGGUCAACACAUUCUGAAAUCAAUUCAAGAAAUAUAGCCUUGAAAUUGGCACCAUGUUUCAACACUCAGCAACGAACCCAUAUUAAUAAUAUUAUAGAAUAAUAAAACUACUACAUGUUAUUAUAUGCCAUUAACACUUUACACCCAAAUACAGGUUGAAAUUGGAACGCAAUGGCUGUUCAGUAACAUGUCAUCAAUGUGGCCUAAAGUACAGAAAAAUAUCAAAUCAACAGUAAUGUUUGGAUUCAGUCUUGUGUCAGGUGAACUGUUGUGUGCUCAACAUUUUCUUUCAAUUGCUACCAUGCUGUUCAUAUUUAAAUCUGUAAGACAUUUCCAUUUUACCCUAGGCCUGGUGUGAUUGGUUGAUGGAUAGGUCCUUCAACCCCGAGGCCUAGGGUGAUUGGUCGCUCGAGGGCUGGUGUAUCUCCUACAUGUGUUUUCAUGUGUUUCACCAGGCACCUAUGAUAGGAGAACCUCUCACCACAUGGAUCACACCUAUAGGGCUUCUCUCCUGUAUGUGUUCUCAUGUGUGUAGCCAGAGUAUCUGACCUGGGAAACCUCUUCCCACACUGACCACAGCUGUAAGGCUUCUCCCCAGUGUGUGUAAGCUGGUGCUUCUUCAGUGCCCCGGAGCGAGCAAAGCUCUUCCCGCACUCAGAGCAGUGGUAAGGUUUUUCCCCGGUGUGCGAGCGCUGGUGUAGAGUCAGGCUUCCCGAUUCGGCAAAGCUCUUCCCACACUGGUCACAGACGUACGGUUUCUCUCCUGUGUGUGUCCGCUGGUGUGUUUUGAGCUGAGUCAGGGUAAGGAAGUUCUUGGGACAGUCGGUGCAUUGGUGAGUCUUCUCCCCGUUGUGUGUUCUCAUGUGUGCAUUGUAGAUGUCUAGAGAGUAGUAGCCCUUACCACACUGCGGGCAAAGGUGAGACCUCACUUUAGCAUGCGUCUGUUGGUGUACUUUCAGGUGGCCCAUUUGGGAGAAACUCCUCCUGCACUGGGAGCAUUGGUAAGGCUUCUCUCCGGUGUGAGUCCGCUGGUGUGCCUUAAACGUGGCCCUGUGGCUGAAUGUCUUCCCACAGUGGGAGCACUGGAAA